UACGGGGGGGGCAAGCGUUGUUCGGAAUUACUGGGCGUAAAGGGCUCGUAGGUGGCCAACUAAGUCGGACGUGAAAUCCCUCGGCUUAACCGGGGAACUGCAUCCGAUACUGGAUGGCUUGAGUUCGGGAGAGGGAUGCGGAAUUCCAGGUGUAGCGGUGAAAUGCGUAGAUAUCUGGAGGAACACCGGUGGCGAAGGCGGCGUCCUGGACCAACACUGACACUGAAAAGCGAAGGCCAGGGGAGCAAACGGG
This 253-nucleotide ribosomal RNA is filed under the name uncultured bacterium. RNAcentral describes it as "partial 16S ribosomal RNA". It matches the Rfam family "Bacterial small subunit ribosomal RNA", at positions 524 to 776 of the family's 1533-position model. The record is from RNAcentral.